UAAAAAACAAGACAAAUCAUGCAUCGAAGACAGUGGCUUGAAAAAUAUGUGCAGAGUAUGCUGCACAGAAAAUGGAAAGAUUGCUAUAUUCAAUAAUGCAAGGUACCCAAAUAUGCCUGAAGAUAUAAUUCAAUUUUCAGGAGUAGAUGUGAGUAUGAAGCAAAAAAGGUCCGCAAAAAUGAUAAUUUUCCUCAACAUAUUUGCCAUGCAUGCAUUAAAUUAUUAAAUGGAUGUAUUAAAUUCAGGUUUAUUUGUAAUUUAAGCCACAAGAGACUGUCCAAGAUACAUUCCAAGCAAGAAACCAUAGAAAUAGUUAAUGUGAAUGUUAUACCCAAUGAAACAGAAGAGUCCUACAAUGUUCCUUCCCCAUCAUUUCCUGAUGAUAAUAUGGAAAACUGGACAUGUACAACAUGCAACAAAGAAUUUCAGGAUUGUCAUACUUAUAAUGAUCACCUAUCGGAAUGUACGGCGAUGUUAGAUGCCAAGAAAAAACAAAAUGCUGAAAUCAAUAAAAAAGCUUUUCUCUGUGAUGUAUGUGGCAAAGCAACACCAUCCUAUGCUCAGCUCCUAUUGCAUAAGACAAUUCAUGAAGAUGUUUUUCCACACAAAUGUGAUCAGUGUCCAUACAGAGGGAAAACCGUGAAUCUACUAAGGAUACACAAGAAGUCACACCUCGUUGAUAAGCCAUAUAAAUGUACACAGUGUCCGAAAGCCACAUCCACAUCCAGCAAUUUAGCUAGACAUAUGCGAAUUGCUCAUACUACU
Molecule: long non-coding RNA, 765 nt
Organism: Aricia agestis (brown argus)
Lineage: Eukaryota; Metazoa; Arthropoda; Insecta; Lepidoptera; Lycaenidae
Exons: 6
Source: RefSeq, a predicted model, not a curated record